GAUGAACGCUGGCGGCGUGCCUAAUACAUGCAAGUCGAGCGGCAGCGGGCUCACAGUGCUUUGGUUCAAUACAGAACGAAGGUAAUGUGAGCGCCGGCGAGCGGCGGACGGCUGAGUAACGCGUGGGAACAUGCCCCAAAGUGAGGGAUAACUGCUCGAAAGGUUAGCUAAUACCGCAUACGACCGAGAGGUGAAAGCGGGGGACCGCAAGGCCUCGCGCGAUUGGAUGAGCCGACGUCGGAUUAGCUAGUUGGCGGGGUAAAGGCCCACCAAGGCGACGAUCCGUAGCUGGUCUGAGAGGAUGAUCAGCCACACUGGAACUGAGACACGGUCCAGACUCCUACGGGAGGCAGCAGUGGGGAAUAUUGGACAAUGGGCGCAAGCCUGAUCCAGCAAUGCCGCGUGUGUGAAGAAGGCCUUCGGGUUGUAAGCACUUUUAUCAGGAACGAAAGCGUUGGAUUAAUACUCUGACGUGCUGAC
RNAcentral lists this ribosomal RNA (480 nucleotides) under uncultured bacterium. Its description in RNAcentral is "bacterial SSU rRNA". It matches the Rfam family "Bacterial small subunit ribosomal RNA", at positions 28 to 483 of the family's 1533-position model. The record is from RNAcentral.